GAUGAACGCUAGCGGCAGGCCUAAUACAUGCAAGUCGGACGGGAUUCAGGAGCUUGCUUCUGAUGAGAGUGGCGCACGGGUGCGUAACACGUAUGUAACCUACCUUUAUCAGGGGGAUAGCCUCUCGAAAGAGAGAUUAAGCCCGCAUAAAAUCACAGCACAGCAUUGUGUAAUGAUCAAAUAUUUAUAGGAUAAAGAUGGGCAUGCGGAACAUUAGCUAGAUGGCGGGGUAACGGCCCACCAUGGCGACGAUGUUUAGGGGAUCUGAGAGGAUGGCCCCCCACACUGGGACUGAGACACGGACCAGACUCCUACGGGAGGCAGCAGUAAGGAAUAUUGGUCAAUGGGCGGGAGCCUGAACCAGCCAUGCCGCGUGCAGGAAGACGGCCCUACGGGUUGUAAACUGCUUUUAUACGGGAAUAAACCCAGAUACGUGUAUCUGGCUGAAUGUACUGUAAGAAUAAGGAUCGGCUAACUCCGUG
This 482-nucleotide ribosomal RNA is filed under the name uncultured bacterium. Its description in RNAcentral is "partial 16S ribosomal RNA". It matches the Rfam family "Bacterial small subunit ribosomal RNA", at positions 28 to 507 of the family's 1533-position model. The record is from RNAcentral.